Molecule: long non-coding RNA, 212 nt
Filed under: Sus scrofa (pig)
Lineage: Eukaryota; Metazoa; Chordata; Mammalia; Artiodactyla; Suidae
Description: lncRNA (ENSSSCG00060057750.1)
Source: RNAcentral
CAGUGAAGAAUAUUGUUGCAGAAAUUCUGAACUGCCCCAGAGCCGUGGCAAGAAAGUCCAGAGAUUAUUAUUGGCCGUAUAGAAUAAUGAUUCUACACAUUUACAAGAACCCAAAGGAAAUGAUGGCAGAAAUUCUCCAACACAUCAGAUGUGGAUGAAAGAAAAGUCUCCAUGUUUAUCAAAAAGAGGCUGCAUUGUGCCAGAGAUUGAAU